This 253-nucleotide ribosomal RNA is filed under the name uncultured bacterium. Its description in RNAcentral is "partial 16S ribosomal RNA". It matches the Rfam family "Bacterial small subunit ribosomal RNA", at positions 524 to 776 of the family's 1533-position model. The record is from RNAcentral.
UACAGCGGGUGCGAGCGUUAAUCGGAAUUACUGGGCGUAAAGCGCACGUAGGUGGCGACGUAAGUCGGGUGUGAAAGCCCCGGGCUCAACCUGGGAAUUGCAUUCGAGACUGCAUUGCUGGAGUACGGAAGAGGAGGGCGGAAUUCCCGGUGUAGCGGCGAAAUGCGUAGAUAUCGGGAGGAACAUCAGUGGCGAAGGCGGCCCUCUGGUCCAGUACUGACACUCAAGUGAGAAAGCGUGGGGAGCAAACAGG